UCGUCCCCACCACACCCUGGGCUGCCGGCGCCGCGCCCUGGCCAUCUCCGCUGAGCACCGGGGCGAAACAGCCGCGCCGGCUUCCACCCGCCCCUCUACAUCUCACGGGCCAUGACUGCAAAACUGAGGUUCUUCCAUCUGCUGUCUGAUCUCUGAUGGAUGAGGCUACGAAAGAGAUCCUGAUGUGCCUGAGACUGUAUGUGUGUCCUCCAAGAGUGAAGUUUCUGUUUUCUCCAGUCCUGUGGAAGUCCUGCAAUCAAAUCCCACUGAAUGUCAAAGCCAGAUUCUCUAGGGAU
Capra hircus (goat) is the source of this 296-nucleotide long non-coding RNA. RefSeq lists it as uncharacterized. The transcript is spliced from 3 exons. The record is from RefSeq and is a predicted model, not a curated record. NCBI's taxonomy places the organism in Eukaryota, Metazoa, Chordata, Mammalia, Artiodactyla, Bovidae.